Non-coding RNA from Schistosoma haematobium, 78 nucleotides. The record is from Rfam. NCBI's taxonomy places the organism in Eukaryota, Metazoa, Platyhelminthes, Trematoda, Strigeidida, Schistosomatidae.
AGUUUCCUGAAUCCGUGCUGAGAUUUCGUCAGACAGCAACCCAUUACGGCUGACCAGACUUCCAAGAUAAGUGAAGUU